GACGAACGCUGGCGGCGUGCUUAACACAUGCAAGUCGAGCGAUGAAACACCUUCGGGUGCGGAUUAGCGGCGAACGGGUGAGGAACACGUGAGGAAUCUGCCUUCCACUCUGGGAUAACUCCGGGAAACCGGGGCUAAUACCGGAUACUUUCAACUGGCGGCAUCGCCGGUUGAAGAAAGUUUUUCGGUGGAAGAUGACCUCGCGGCCUAUCAGCUUGUUGGUGAGGUAAAGGCUCACCAAGGUGACGACGGGUAGCCGGCCUGAGAGGGCGACAGGCCACAAGGGGACUGAGACACGGCCCAGAACCCUGCGGGAGGCAGCGGUGGGGAAUAUUGGGCAAUGGAGGAAACGCUGACCCAGCGACGCCGCGUGAGGGAUGAAGUCCUUCGGGUUGUACACCGCUUUCAGCAGGGAAGAAGCGAAAGUGACGGUACCUGCAGAAGAAGCACCGGCUAACUAUGUGCCAGCCGCCGCCGUAA
RNAcentral lists this ribosomal RNA (480 nucleotides) under uncultured bacterium. RNAcentral's name for it is "partial 16S ribosomal RNA". It matches the Rfam family "Bacterial small subunit ribosomal RNA", at positions 28 to 523 of the family's 1533-position model. The record is from RNAcentral.